Molecule: non-coding RNA, 29 nt
Filed under: Rattus norvegicus (Norway rat)
Lineage: Eukaryota; Metazoa; Chordata; Mammalia; Rodentia; Muridae
Source: RNAcentral
UAAAACAUGGAUGUCCACAACUGACCGUU